UACGUAGGGGGCGAGCGUAGUCCGAAGUUACUGGGCGUAAAGCGCGCGUAGGCGGGCUAUUAAGUUGGAUGUGAAAUCUCCUCGGCUCAACCGGGAAAGUGCAUCUGAAACUGGUAGCCUUGAGGUAUGGAGAGGGAAGUGGAAUUCCUGGUGUAGCGGUGAAAUGCGUAGAUAUCAGGAGGAACACCCGUGGCGAAGGCGGCUUCCUGGCCAUAUCCUGACGCUGAGGUGCGAAAGCUAGGGGA
This 245-nucleotide ribosomal RNA is filed under the name uncultured bacterium. RNAcentral's name for it is "partial 16S ribosomal RNA". It matches the Rfam family "Bacterial small subunit ribosomal RNA", at positions 524 to 767 of the family's 1533-position model. The record is from RNAcentral.